GGCGAACGCUGGCGGCAUGCCUAACACAUGCAAGUCGAACGAAGGCUUCGGCCUUAGUGGCGCACGGGUGCGUAACGCGUGGGAAUCUGCCCUUAGGUUCGGAAUAACAGUUAGAAAUGACUGCUAAUACCGGAUGAUGACGUAAGUCCAAAGAUUUAUCGCCUGAGGAUGAGCCCGCGUAGGAUUAGCUAGUUGGUGUGGUAAAGGCGCACCAAGGCGACGAUCCUUAGCUGGUCUGAGAGGAUGAUCAGCCACACUGGGACUGAGACACGGCCCAGACUCCUACGGGAGGCAGCAGUGGGGAAUAUUGGACAAUGGGCGCAAGCCUGAUCCAGCAAUGCCGCGUGAGUGAUGAAGGCCUUAGGGUUGUAAAGCUCUUUUACCCGUGAUGAUAAUGACAGUAGCGGGAGAAUAAGCCCCGGCUAACUCCGUG
Molecule: ribosomal RNA, 433 nt
Filed under: uncultured bacterium
Lineage: Bacteria
Description: partial 16S ribosomal RNA
Rfam family: Bacterial small subunit ribosomal RNA
Source: RNAcentral